Molecule: unclassified non-coding RNA, 654 nt
Filed under: Leishmania donovani
Lineage: Eukaryota; Euglenozoa; Kinetoplastea; Trypanosomatida; Trypanosomatidae
Description: gene:LdHU3.34.4740(CDS-product:hypothetical_prote in_conserved)
Source: RNAcentral
CAGCCUGCAUCAGUUGAAGUCGGAUCGAACUCACUAGUGCGCCUCUGCAGCUCAUAUUACAAGACCAAUGCUGCGUUUGACGCGCCGCUCGCUGGUGCAGCGCUCUCGGAUGACGUUGGAGGCAAACUUCAAGAGCCAUAGCGCUGCCGCCAACCCUGCCACUGACGCCUCUGUCACGGGCAAGGUGAAGGCAGAGUUGAAGAAGAUGAUCAAGAUCCAGCUGGUGCUCAUCCCUAUCUGCGUAGUCUUUAUGGUGUGGAUGUACCCCACCCCCACAGAGGAGGAUGAGCGGCGAAUGCGGCUGGAGUAUGAACGCAAUGCUGGGUGGAAGACGUAGUGUGGAGCUUGGCGGCUUCUCUGCUGCCUUUCGGUUCCCUGUGAGCUGACGGCGCGUUGUUUUUGUGUAAAGGCACGCGUUUAUGUGUGGCUGUGCAUCUUUUUUUUCCCGGCCGUGGUGUGCCCAUGUCUGCCUCGCUUUCGUGGUUGUUGUUGCUUACAGAGGCAGAGUAACGGUAAACGCAAAAAAAGGAGGGCGAAGGGAAAACAAAGGGGGUGAAGAACGGCACGCGCACCCGUGUCAAAGGCCCUGCGAAUGCCGAACUCAUAGAGCUCGCUAUCUCUCUCUUUCUACCAUAUGCAUCUCUUCGUGCUGCC